RNAcentral lists this ribosomal RNA (429 nucleotides) under Pseudomonadota bacterium. RNAcentral's name for it is "Proteobacteria bacterium partial 16S ribosomal RNA". It matches the Rfam family "Bacterial small subunit ribosomal RNA", at positions 355 to 776 of the family's 1533-position model. Lineage: Bacteria; Pseudomonadati; Pseudomonadota. The record is from RNAcentral.
UGUGGAAUAUUGGACAAUUGGCGAAAGCCUGAUCCAGCCAUGCCGCGUGUGUGAAGAAGGUCUUCGGAUUGUAAAGCACUUUAAGUUGGGAGGAAGGGCAGUAAGCGAAUACCUUCCUGUUUUGACGUUACCGACAGAAUAAGCACCGGCUAACUCUGUGCCAGCAGCCGCGGUAAUACAGAGGGUGCAAGCGUUAAUCGGAAUUACUGGGCGUAAAGCGCGCGUAGGUGGUUCGUUAAGUUGAAUGUGAAAGCCCCGGGCUCAACCUGGGAACUGCAUCCAAAACUGGCGAGCUAGAGUAGGGCAGAGGGUGGUGGAAUUUCCUGUGUAGCGGUGAAAUGCGUAGAUAUAGGAAGGAACACCAGUGGCGAAGGCGACCACCUGGGCUCAUACUGACACUGAGGUGCGAAAGCGUGGGGAGCAAACAGG